RNAcentral lists this long non-coding RNA (1186 nucleotides) under Marmota monax (woodchuck). Lineage: Eukaryota; Metazoa; Chordata; Mammalia; Rodentia; Sciuridae. The record is from RNAcentral.
CUUUGUGAUGAAAAUAUGGAAGGGGUAAGAAGUAAAUUACUAAGGGAAGAAGGCACCCCAGUGGAACCAAGAAUAGUUAGGGCAUGUGUCGAUAAGAGCCCAGGAACUCUAGUCAGAAAGAAAAAGAAAGUUCAGAAGAAGAAGGAUUAUCAGGAAAAAAGUUGCAGCAAAAGGCUAUUACUGAAUACUUUUCGUUCCCAGAGGGUGCAUGAAGCGGAGAGGCAACUGCUGAGUGUGCAAGCCGGUCACAGAGCAGCAAGGAUUUUCCAAGAGGCGGCGGCGACUGGCCCUUCCCCGCCUCCUGGCCGGGGAACUAGCUCUUCCACUGCUGCAAGCCCAAAUCUAGACCUGACCUGGAGGCACAGUCUCGCAGGCUCUUGCUCCCUGUGCCCAGUAGCAGUUUGAGUCCGGGACACUCCCCAGGGCCAUCUGGGGCUGUCCAGGCACUACAGCCAGCAGAAGAUGCUACUGGUGUCCCUGAUGUUUGGUCAUUUUCAAUGCAAAUAACUAAGCUACAAUGGUUCUCCCACACCUGGAAGCUGAUGAGUAAUGAGCACUAUUAAGGCUUAUUUCAAAUGUAAAAAAACCUUGAGAUAAUGUACUAAAUUGUUCAGAAGGUUGUUUUCUUAGUAGAAUGCUACAGGAUUUUCUUUAGCCAUCCAGAGUUCCUGCCUUCGUCCCAGUGCCAGUGAAAACGAAAGUGGAAGAAUUUCCAGUGUUGCUGAGAAACAGACGAAACUUCAGAUCAAGCUAGCUGCCUGCAGAACUUACCUGGACUGUGAUUUAAGCUAGCUGCCUGCAGAACUUACCUGGACUGUGAUUUACCUGGACUGUGAGUUAAUCUAUUGAGACACUGCUUUACCUGGACUGAGACAACAAAUUGUAAUCUACAACAAAUUGUAACUCUGUAUCUUUGCUAACAGUGUCAUUGCUGGUAUAAUUUUUCCAAGGGCUUCUUGCAUGGAGCCAUCAAUUGGCUUGGUAUUGUGGCAUUUUGUAUCCUCCCUUUCUUCUCAUAGCAGAUUAUUUGUGGUGUUUAUGUAAAAACCACUAUGGUCGUUAUUUAAAUUAAACAAAAGGGGGAAAUAUUAGAGUCUGUAAACAAGUCAGGAUGGCGCCUGGAAAAUGUUAGAGGGAAUGGUUUGUGAAGUAACACCAGCGAGCCAUUAAGUGUGGAGAUUCCUGA